AUCGGGGUUCAAAAUGGAUUUAGACCAGUUGUUUGUUUUCCUUGACGCUUUGAGCGUCGAUUGUCACACCCUUUUCAUCUCCUACCUUUUAUACAGAUGGUUUUUUAUUCUUUUACAGUAAAUUUACCUCUAAAUCUUUGUUUAUUCCUGUUUUUCUUUUUCUACCAUUUUCUUUCUCAUAAUGCCUAAUGACUUUUCAAUCUUUCUUAUAAAUAAUUCAACGUAAAUGGCACAUGAUUCGUACAUUUUGUUUCUUAAUGAAGUGACGAAUCCAAUGGAGGUGGUCCGGGGGUUGGAAACCCAUUUAUUGACAAUCUACGCAUUUGAAUUGGAACAUAUCUCCUGGGUUGGGAACCCCAUUUUUUGACAAUCUACGCAUUUGAAUUGGAAC
Molecule: long non-coding RNA, 391 nt
Filed under: Mytilus galloprovincialis (Mediterranean mussel)
Lineage: Eukaryota; Metazoa; Mollusca; Bivalvia; Mytilida; Mytilidae
Source: RNAcentral